GCUGGCGGCGUGCUUACAGAUGCGACGUCGAAACGAUGAAAGCCUCCUGCUUGCAGGGGGUGGAUUAGUGGCGAACGGGUGAGUAUCACGUGAGUAACCUGCCCUUGACUCUGGGAUAAGCCUGGGAAACUGGGUCUAAUACCGGAUAUGACCAGUCACCGCAUGGUGUGCUGGUGGAAAGCUUUAGCGGUUUUGGAUGGACUCGCGGCCUAUCAGCUUGACGGUGGGGUAAUGGCCUACCGUGGCGAUGACGGGUAGCCGGCCUGAGAGGGUGACCGGCCACACUGGGACUGAGACACGGCCCAGACUCCUACGGGAGGCAGCAGUGGGGAAUAUUGCACAAUGGGCGAAAGCCUGAUGCAGCGACGCCGCGUGUGGGAUGACGGCCUUCGGGUUGUAAACCACUUUCAGCAGGGAAGAAGCUUUUUGUGACGGUACCUGCAGAAGAAGCGCCGGCUAACUACGUGCCAGCAGCCGCGGUAAUACGUAGGGCGCGAGCGUUAUCCGGAAUUAUUGGGCGUAAAGAGCUCGUAGGCGGUUUGUCGCGUCUGCUGUGAAAGCCCGGGGCUUAACCCCGGGUGUGCAGUGGGUACGGGCA
Molecule: ribosomal RNA, 598 nt
Filed under: uncultured Actinomycetes bacterium
Lineage: Bacteria; Bacillati; Actinomycetota; Actinomycetes
Description: bacterial SSU rRNA
Rfam family: Bacterial small subunit ribosomal RNA
Source: RNAcentral